GUGAGGUAUUUCUGACUUUCUCACAUGAAACCUUAGGUACACGUAAUGACUCUCAUACAUAUGUUUUUGAUGUACAGGUUCAAGGAUUAUGUUGUAUUAGAUGGAAAAAAGUGUUCUUCAUUAGUGACUUGAGCUGUUUCGAAGAAUUGUAUGUGCAGAGGAAUUAAGAUGGAUGAAAUGUUUCAUUGGCUGUAGGAGCAGCAGGAUGCAUAACAUGGGAACAUUGCCGUAACCAUUAAAGGAUAUAAUGCAGAAUCCGUUAACAAUUUCUGCAGUGGAAUUAACUACAGGUGGCAAUGUUUUGCAUACCUCAGCCAGAGCUGGAGAGUCUUUUUCUGAAGACAUCUGGGUCAUGAAGAAAGAAAAGGGGGCACAACUAGAGCAAACAGAAACCUUGGACAGAGAUUCCCCAUUCAAAACUUACACCACUUAGGUGGUGGUUUUUUGCAUGCUAAUCCUGCAGAGA
RNAcentral lists this long non-coding RNA (466 nucleotides) under Manacus vitellinus (golden-collared manakin). RNAcentral describes it as "lncRNA (ENSMVIG00005007443.1)". The record is from RNAcentral. Lineage: Eukaryota; Metazoa; Chordata; Aves; Passeriformes; Pipridae.